Molecule: long non-coding RNA, 761 nt
Organism: Papaver somniferum (opium poppy)
Lineage: Eukaryota; Viridiplantae; Streptophyta; Magnoliopsida; Ranunculales; Papaveraceae
Exons: 2
Source: RefSeq, a predicted model, not a curated record
GUACGCCUCGUUCGGAUCCCUCCUACGAUUUUCCAUAAAGGAUCCUAUUAUAUAUACCCACCAGUAAAAAUCCUAAUUCGACUUUCUAAAAGAAAAAAACCUAAUUCACUUUUCUAGCUCUCCGCCGCGCUGGCUCUCUCCUCCUCUAUCUAUUUCUUCCCCCACAUCUCAUGUUCUGAUAUUCCUCCACUAUUAAUCAAAAAUCCAAUCACUGAAAGAUGUUUUAGUAUUCUUAGGAGAAGAGAUGAAAAAGAAGAAGUUGCGGCCACAGUUGCUAUGCACCCUCAUUUAUUUCUUACAAUUUUUCAUUUUUUAGAUUUGAAGGGUUUUUAAUAUUGAAUGUCUUGAUCUUUGCAGAUUCAACUUGGUUCUGAUUUGUUUUUUUUUAGGUUGAAAUGAAAGGGUAUGUUGAUUCAUUUUGCAUAGAUGGUGAAUGUUAUUAAAAGGUUGUAACGUCACUCCAGUUUUAUGGAAUCAGCUUCUAGGUCUUGCUUUAGUCCCGAGUUUGGUUCUGAUGUGAAAGAGACGUGGAAUUGAUUGAUUAAUGGACAGUUUGAUUGAAGGCAUCAACAACCCGAAUUGCAUAUAUCACCGUAUGAUAUAUAGCUGAUUAGUUGAAAGGGGAGAAAAGACGGUUAGAAAAUCAAGGAGUUGCGAAUUAUCUAGAAUCUCAAAAUCCCUGUAUAUUAUGUAUCUUGUAUUUUUUUUCUUCAUGUUUUAUGUAAAUUUUAAACCAUUAGCAGUGAUUUCCAUUUAAAUCA